RNAcentral lists this ribosomal RNA (409 nucleotides) under bacterium enrichment culture clone ALO1_GLFRUDD03F5L7E. Its description in RNAcentral is "bacterial SSU rRNA". It matches the Rfam family "Bacterial small subunit ribosomal RNA", at positions 9 to 416 of the family's 1533-position model. The record is from RNAcentral.
GAGUUUGAUCGUGGCUCAGAUUGAACGCUGGCGGCAUGCCUUACACAUGCAAGUCGAACGGCAGCACGGGAGCUUGCUCCUGGUGGGCGAGUGGGCGAACGGGUGAGUAAUGCAUCGGAACGUAUCCUGGAGUGGGGGAUAACGUAGCGAAAGUUACGCUAAUACCGCAUAUUCUGUGAGCAGGAAAGCGGGGGACCUUCGGGCCUCGCGCUCUUGGAGCGGCCGAUGUCGGAUUAGCUAGUUGGUGAGGUAAAGGCUCACCAAGGCGACGAUCCGUAGCAGGUCUGAGAGGAUGAUCUGCCACACUGGAACUGAGACACGGUCCAGACUCCUACGGGAGGCAGCAGUGGGGAAUUUUGGACAAUGGGGGCAACCCUGAUCCAGCCCAUGCCGCGUGAGUGAGAAGGCC